UCGUAACAAGGUUUCCGUAGGUGAACCUGCGGAAGGAUCAUUACUGAGUGAGGGCCCCUCGGGGUCCAACCUCCCACCCGUGUUUAACGAACCUUGUUGCUUUGGCGGGCCCGCCUCACGGCCGCCGGGGGGCAUCUGCCCCCGGGCCCGCGCCCGCCGAAGCCACCUGUGAACUCUGUCUGAAGUAUGCAGUCUGAGACAAUUAUUAAAUUAAUUAAAACUUUCAACAACGGAUCUCUUGGUUCCGGCAUCGAUGAAGAACGCAGCGAAAUGCGAUAACUAAUGUGAAUUGCAGAAUUCAGUGAAUCAUCGAGUCUUUGAACGCACAUUGCGCCCUCUGGUAUUCCGGAGGGCAUGCCUGUCCGAGCGUCAUUGCUGCCCUCCAGCCCGGCUGGUGUGUUGGGCCCCGCCCCCCUUCCCGGGGGGGCGGGCCCGAAAGGCAGCGGCGGCACCGCGUCCGGUCCUCGAGCGUAUGGGGCUUUGUCACCCGCUCUUGUAGGCCCGGCCGGCGCCAGCCGACCCCCUCAAUCUAUUUUUUCAGGUUGACCUCGGAUCAGGUAGGGAUACCCGCUGAACUUAAGCAUAUCAAUAA
This 592-nucleotide unclassified non-coding RNA is filed under the name Penicillium aurantiacobrunneum. RNAcentral describes it as "sequence contains 18S rRNA gene, ITS1, 5.8S rRNA gene, ITS2, 28S rRNA gene". The stretch from base 219 to 372 matches the Rfam family "5.8S ribosomal RNA". The record is from RNAcentral. Lineage: Eukaryota; Fungi; Ascomycota; Eurotiomycetes; Eurotiales; Aspergillaceae.